Molecule: ribosomal RNA, 622 nt
Filed under: uncultured bacterium
Lineage: Bacteria
Description: bacterial SSU rRNA
Rfam family: Bacterial small subunit ribosomal RNA
Source: RNAcentral
CGGCGGACGCGGUGAGUAACGCGUGGGUAACCUGCCCUAGAGAUCGGGAUAACAGCGGGAAACUGCUGCUAAUACCGGAUGUCUCUACGAGAAGGCAUCUUUUAGUAGAGAAAGCGAUAGCGCUCUAGGAUGGGCCCGCGUCCCAUUAGCUAGUUGGUGAGGUAACGGCUCACCAAGGCGACGAUGGGUAGCCGGCCUGAGAGGGUGGACGGCCACACUGGGACUGAGACACGGCCCAGACUCCUACGGGAGGCAGCAGUAGGGAAUAUUGCGCAAUGGAGGAAACUCUGACGCAGCGACGCCGCGUGAGCGAUGAAGGUUUUCGGAUCGUAAAGCUCUGUCCUUGGGGAAGAAGGUCUUCGGACUUGACGGUACCCAAGAAGAAAGCCCCGGCUAACUACGUGCCAGCAGCCGCGGUAAUACGUAGGGGGCAAGCGUUGUCCGGAAUUAUUGGGCGUAAAGGGUGCGUAGGCGGCCUUUUAAGUCAGAUGUGAAAGCCCGCGGCUUAACUGCGGGAUUGCAUUUGAAACUGGGAGGCUUGAGUAUCGGAGAGGGUAGUGGAAUUCCCAGUGUAGCGGUGAAAUGCGUAGAUAUUGGGAGGAACACCAGUGGCGAAGGCGAC